GAUGAACGCUGGCGGCGUGCCUAAUACAUGCAAGUCGAGCGAACAGACGAGGAGCUUGCUUCUCUGACGUUAGCGGCGGACGGGUGAGUAACACGUGGAUAACCUACCUAUAAGACUGGGAUAACUUUGGGAAACCGGAGCUAAUACCGGAUAAUAUAUUGAACCGCAUGGUUCAAUAGUGAAAGACGGUUUUGCUGUCACUUAUAGAUGGAUCCGCGCCGCAUUAGCUAGUUGGUAAGGUAACGGCUUACCAAGGCGACGAUGCGUAGCCGACCUGAGAGGGUGAUCGGCCACACUGGAACUGAGACACGGUCCAGACUCCUACGGGAGGCAGCAGUAGGGAAUCUUCCGCAAUGGGCGAAAGCCUGACGGAGCAACGCCGCGUGAGUGAUGAAGGUCUUCGGAUCGUAAAACUCUGUUAUUAGGGAAGAACAAAUGUGUAAGUAACUAUGCACAUCUUGACGGUACCUAAUCAGAAAGCCACGGCUAACUACGUG
Molecule: ribosomal RNA, 497 nt
Filed under: uncultured bacterium
Lineage: Bacteria
Description: partial 16S ribosomal RNA
Rfam family: Bacterial small subunit ribosomal RNA
Source: RNAcentral